This 301-nucleotide ribosomal RNA is filed under the name uncultured bacterium. RNAcentral's name for it is "partial 16S ribosomal RNA". It matches the Rfam family "Bacterial small subunit ribosomal RNA", at positions 509 to 807 of the family's 1533-position model. The record is from RNAcentral.
CAGUCGCCACGGUAAUACGUAGGGUGAGAGCGUUAAUCGGAAUUACUGGGCGUAAAGCGUGCGCAGGCGGUUCGUUAAGACAGAUGUGAAAUCCCCGGGCUUAACCUGGGAACUGCAUUUGUGACUGACGGGCUAGAGUAUGGCAGAGGGGGGUAGAAUUCCACGUGUAGCAGUGAAAUGCGUAGAGAUGUGGAGGAAUACCGAUGGCGAAGGCAGCCCCCUGGGCCAAUACUGACGCUCAUGCACGAAAGCGUGGGGAGCAAACAGGAUUAGAUACCCCAGUAGUCCCUGUCUCUUAUAC